UGAAGAAGCUGGGCGGGACCGUGGAUGACACUGUGCUUGUAAAGGGUUUGGUGUUUGACAAGAAGGUAAGUCAUGCGGCUGGCGGACCGACCAGAAUGGAGAAUGCGAAGAUUGCGGUAAUUCAAUUCCAGAUUUCACCACCUAAAACUGACAUUGAGCAGAGUAUUGUGGUCUCGGAUUAUACUCAGAUGGAUAGGAUAUUGAAAGAGGAGAGGAAUUACAUUUUAGGUAUGAUCAAGAAGAUUAGGGCAACUGGGUGUAACGUAUUGUUGAUUCAGAAGAGUAUCUUGAGAGAUGCAGUGACAGAUUUGUCACUACAUUACCUUGCUAAAGCUAAGAUUUUGGUGAUUAAGGAUGUUGAGCGCGAUGACAUUGAAUUCAUUACAAAGACUCUCAAUUGUCUGCCAAUUGCAAAUAUUGAACAUUUCCGCGCUGAGAAGUUGGGGUAUGCAGAACUCGUUGAGGAGGCUUCAAUGGGAGAUGGGAAGAUUGUUAGGAUUACGGGCAUUAAG
This 512-nucleotide unclassified non-coding RNA is filed under the name Hevea brasiliensis (rubber tree). Lineage: Eukaryota; Viridiplantae; Streptophyta; Magnoliopsida; Malpighiales; Euphorbiaceae. The record is from RNAcentral.